Molecule: unclassified non-coding RNA, 612 nt
Filed under: Hevea brasiliensis (rubber tree)
Lineage: Eukaryota; Viridiplantae; Streptophyta; Magnoliopsida; Malpighiales; Euphorbiaceae
Source: RNAcentral
GCUGCCUGCCAGUUUCAGCCGCAUGCCCCUGCAGUGAAGGUGAAGCCCUAAGUGAAAAUAUGCGAGGUGAAAUCCUUGUUGUUACGGGUCCCGGCCAUGGCCAUCUCUAUCCCUGCAUGCAACUCUGCAACCGUCUUACUAAACGUAACUUCCAUAUUACCCUCGUUACCUCCUCCACUCUCUCCCCUGCUAUUCCCUCCUCUUUUACUCAAAACCCACUUACCAGUAUCGCCCCCAUCGCUCCCUCCGGCCAGCAAUCCGCCCAAGACCUCCGCUUAUACCUCACCAGCCGCUGCAAUAUAUCUGAUUCUCCCCCGCCUCUAUGCGCUAUCAUUGACUUCCAAAUGGGCUGGACAAAACAUGUCUUUUGGAAAUUUGAUAUUCCUGUCAUCGGAUUGUUUACUUUUGGCGCCUGUGCUGCCGCCAUGGAGUGGGGAGCCUGGAAGGUCCAAGCUGAAGAACUCAUGCCCGGUGAAGCCCGUUUAGUCCCGGCAUUACCCCAAGAAAUGGCGAUUACUUGCUCCGAUCUCAAAAGAAAAAUUUUUGUGCCGCCUGGUGACGGCGGACUUGGGCGGGGCCCGCCAAUGCCCGGAGACCGGCCCCCAUGGGUGC